This 253-nucleotide ribosomal RNA is filed under the name uncultured bacterium. Its description in RNAcentral is "partial 16S ribosomal RNA". It matches the Rfam family "Bacterial small subunit ribosomal RNA", at positions 524 to 776 of the family's 1533-position model. The record is from RNAcentral.
UACGGGGGGGGCAAGCGUUGUUCGGAAUUACUGGGCGUAAAGGGCUCGUAGGUGGCCAACUAAGUCAGACGUGAAAUCCCUCAGCUUAACUGGGGAACUGCGUCUGAUACUGGAUGGCUUGAGUUUGGGAGAGGGAUGCGGAAUUCCAGGUGUAGCGGUGAAAUGCGUGGAUAUCUGGAGGAACACCGGUGGCGAAGGCGGCAUCCUGGACCAACACUGACACUGAGGAGCGAAAGCCAGGGGAGCAAACGGG